CUUUCUCCUCGAAGAGACUAUCAACCUUCCUAUGCUGGUCUGACUUCAUGUAAAGAGGCAUCAGAUUAUUGUUGGUCUAUGUUCAUCCAUCUGGCUGUAGAGAUCUGUUGCUUUGUCUUCCUUGUUCCUGAGAAAUAACAAAUAUGAAAGGCGCCGUAAGUUCGAUGAUUCUUGGCUGAUAAGGGAGGUUAGCAAAAUAAUUCUCAGCUGCCUCAAGGCCACACUUGAGAUCCAGACGUAUUGCAUGGUUAGUGUGUGACAUGUUCAUACCCCUCGCACUGACCAUCCAAUCAAUCAAUUGCAUGAAAACAAUGCCACAUUAUAGAUGAAGUAAUACCAACCAAUCAACCAUAACUUAAGCAUUAAUAGCAGAUGUAAAAAGAAGAGCAAUUGCACAUUUCCCACUACUUUAACUUGAGUUUGACACUCAAUAAUGUUAUCAAAUUAUCUGAUGAAUCCUGGUCGCUAAGGCACCAACCAGAUGAUUGGAUGUGAUUACUCAUCGACUAGCUCGAUUAAUCGAGCUUAGUUGUCCUGCAUAUUACCAGGUCUGAUAUGAUAUUAGCAGCAACAAAUUAAAGCUAGAAAAGAUUAAUUGCAGAUCAGAGAUUAAAGCAGAACAGAUGUAGCAAGAUGGAAAAAGAUUGGAGGACAUGAACUCCAUCUUCAGGAAGGAGGAAGGGACCUGGCAGCAGAAUCUUUUAGCACUUGGCUGCUGCAGUGGUUGAGGAAUGCGUGGUGCAUGAGGAAGGAUGUCUGACAAAGGCAGCAACAUGAGCUGGUGGCAGGCUGAGGAAGGCAUCU
This 804-nucleotide long non-coding RNA is filed under the name Zea mays. RNAcentral's name for it is "long non-coding RNA (ZMAY_LNC001558)". The record is from RNAcentral. Lineage: Eukaryota; Viridiplantae; Streptophyta; Magnoliopsida; Poales; Poaceae.